Molecule: ribosomal RNA, 432 nt
Filed under: uncultured bacterium
Lineage: Bacteria
Description: partial 16S ribosomal RNA
Rfam family: Bacterial small subunit ribosomal RNA
Source: RNAcentral
AGCGAACGCUGGCGGCAGGCCUAACACAUGCAAGUCGAACGAACUCUUCGGAGUUAGUGGCGGACGGGUGAGUAACACGUGGGAACGUGCCUUUUGGUUCGGAAUAACUCAGGGAAACUUGUGCUAAUACCGAAUGUGCCCUUCGGGGGAAAGAUUUAUCGCCAUUAGAGCGGCCCGCGUCUGAUUAGCUAGUUGGUGAGGUAACGGCUCACCAAGGCGACGAUCAGUAGCUGGUCUGAGAGGAUGACCAGCCACACUGGGACUGAGACACGGCCCAGACCCCUACGGGAGGCAGCAGUGGGGAAUCUUGCGCAAUGGGCGAAAGCCUGACGCAGCCAUGCCGCGUGAAUGAUGAAGGUCUUAGGAUUGUAAAAUUCUUUCACCGGGGACGAUAAUGACGGUACCCGGAGAAGAAGCCCCGGCUAACUUCGU